AACGAACGCUGGCGGCAUGCCUAAUACAUGCAAGUCGAACGACCGGAGCAAUCCGGGAGUGCGAACGGGUGAGUAACACGUGGGAACCUGCCCAGCGGUGGGGAACAACCGAGGGAAACUUCGGCUAAUACCGCAUACGCCCUUACGGGGAAAGAUUUAUCGCCGUUGGAGGGGCCCGCGUCCGAUUAGCUAGUUGGUGAGGUAACGGCUCACCAAGGCGACGAUCGGUAACUGGUCUGAGAGGACGACCAGUCACACUGGGACUGAGACACGGCCCAGACUCCUACGGGAGGCAGCAGUAGGGAAUAUUGGACAAUGGGGGAAACCCUGAUCCAGCAAUGCCGCGUGAGUGAUGAAGGCCUUAGGGUUGUAAAGCUCUUUCGCCCACGACGAUGAUGACGGUAGUGGGAGAAGAAGCCCCGGCUAACUUCGUGCCAGCCGCCGCGGUAA
Molecule: ribosomal RNA, 450 nt
Filed under: uncultured bacterium
Lineage: Bacteria
Description: partial 16S ribosomal RNA
Rfam family: Bacterial small subunit ribosomal RNA
Source: RNAcentral